RNAcentral lists this ribosomal RNA (259 nucleotides) under uncultured bacterium. Its description in RNAcentral is "partial 16S ribosomal RNA". It matches the Rfam family "Bacterial small subunit ribosomal RNA", at positions 333 to 584 of the family's 1533-position model. The record is from RNAcentral.
AGCAUCCUACGGGGGGCAGCAGUAGGGAAUCUUUCACAAUGGGCGAAAGCCUGAUGGAGCAACGCCGCGUGGGUGAAGAAGGUCUUCGGAUCGUAAAACCCUGUUGUUAGAGAAGAAAGUGCGUGAGAGUAACUGUUCACGUUUCGACGGUAUCUAACCAGAAAGCCACGGCUAACUACGUGCCAGCAGCCGCGGUAAUACGUAGGUGGCAAGCGUUAUCCGGAUUUAUUGGGCGUAACGGAAACGCAGGCGGUCUUUU